GUCAGCAGCAAGGACUUUCUCCCUAUAAUGCGGAAUGGGUGUCCUUCCUCCGGCAAGGUGUCAGGCGCACUUAACAGAAGUGUGACGCUAAUAUCUGCCUGUAGCCAUGAGGCGUUCUUCCCAGCUCUGUCUACACAGGAACCUCUUCUCACGAGGACAGCAGACCUACUGGAUUAGAGCUAGGGUGUUUAUUUUUUAUUUAUUUUAUUUUUUUUUUUUUAGGGUGUUUAAAAUAGAAAAUUUCCCCUGAAGCUUUGCGUGUUGGAGACUCGGUCCUCGGUACCGCAGUGAUCAGCGGUAGGUCUGUCCUGGGAGAAAAUGAACAAACUCCCAGAUGGCUCCCGCUCUGAUGUAUCCAUCUGACCAGAGCAGCAUCCCGGGGACCACCAGACAAAUGCAACAUCUGAAGGUAGACAAUAAACCCUUCACGAGAAGACACCUUCAGAGGAAGAGAAAGCUGAUAACGUGGAGAGAGAGGAAUCAAGACUUUAACUCAUCAAGCUCAGACUUCGGGGAAACAACAAGGACACUAUAUGACUGACCCUAAAACUCUUCUUUACUAAAUUUUUUCUGAAGUAUAAAACAGAAUUUUAACAAUAUUAAAGGCAUUGCUCAGUGGAUUAAAAAAAAUGCUUCUUUCCUGUGUGUGGUGACACACCUAUAGUCCAGCGCUCCAGAGGCAGAGGGUGAAGACCCAUCAUGAGUGUGGGUGGAACCAUCGAUGGACUGACGUCCAGGACUUCACCCCUUUCUCUGCUUCCUGGCUGUAGACUCAGUGUGGCAAGCUGCCUCAAGCUCCUGCCGCCAGACCUUCCCUGCCCCGAUGGACUGUACGCUUAGACCGUGAGACAGAAUCAACCUGGCCUUUCCUCAAGCUGCGUUGGUCCAGAAUUUUGUGAGAAAAGUGACUGAAACACACACUCACUGGCUUCCAUAGUAGCAGCUUUGGACAGAAACAGGCUAACGGUUCUUGAUACUGAAGUGUAUUUACAAAGUGACUCCAAGGAAAUCUUUGUUAGGUGAAAAUUCACAACUACUCAAAAGGAUGAAGGGAUCAAGGUUUCAAAAUAAUUUGUCCAACACCAUGGAAAAAAGUAAGAAAAGUUGGCAUGCAUAGUAUUUUAAUAUGCAACUUACUGUCCCAUCCCUGAAUAUUAUUGUGUCAGGUAGAGUACAUUACUUUUAAAAAAUAUUUAUUUAUUAUGUAUACAAUAUUCUGUCUGUGUGUAUGCCUGCAGGCCAGAAGAGGGCACCAGACCCCAUUACAGAUGGUUGUGAGCCACCAUGUGGUUGCUGGGAAUUGAACUCAGGACCUUUGGAAGAGCAGGCAAUGCUCUUAACCUUUGAGCCAUCACUCCAGCCCCGAGUACAUUACUUUGGAAGAGGUUUAAUUAAAGCUCUUUCCUUUUUAAGUUACCAGAAUAUAUGUUUAAUAAAAAAAUUGUCAUAAUGACAAAAAGACCACUCAGUAGAGCACAGGCAAAGGUCCUAGGAGGGAAAGACCACCCAGUAGAGCAUAGGCAAAGGUCCUGUGAAGGGGAGACCGCCCAGUAGAGCAGAGGCAAAGUGUUGGGAGCUGUGAACCCCCCAGAUCCUGAAUUUCUUUAAACACUUAUUUUCCCCUGAUCUGAGUGCCUACAGCUGCUCUGAGCACGAGACACUCAGGAGUUCCUGAUGGCAGGGGAAUGGUUUCUGGUGGGUUUCAUUGGGGCGUGGCUAUCCCUAUAUAAGCUGCCCCUGGACACACUAAAAGGGAGCAUUCUUGGAGCAUUCUGGAAUCAAGGAUGACCUGUGUCUCUGUCUGUGAGUCUUUGUGUGUUUCGGUCUCCAGCCCCUUGCCCAGUUCACAAACUGUAUGGUGGCACAUAGAGCACAGACGGGCAUGAUGCGCUACAACAAAGAUCCCAGGAAGGGAAGAAACUAAAAACAUUAAUGACUUAAACAUACAGGAAUUCAGAGACAAGCAACAUACAAAACAAAGGUACAGUGAGCUAUCAGAUUGGCAAGAACUAAAAUGCAGUUGCUAACUGCAAGACGUGGUGUGGACCAAUGGAAACUUUCACAUGGCUGUUGGGAGGCUACAUCGAUACAACACUCUGGAAAAAACAUUAUGACAUUAUAUAAUAAAAUUGAUGCAUUUAUACUAUGACUGAGUAUUAAUUAAAGUUCUUAAAGCUGCAAUCAGUCUAAGAAAAUAUCCUUCUACCUUCUAGCAGUGUGAUUCCAAACAGCAAAAUAAUUUGCCUAAGUAAACUCAGAUACAGCAGGUAAUUGUGGACUUUGAAACUAGGUCUCCCAUUUAUUAAGAAUUUAUGUAUCUCAUAAAUUCUUUUAAUUGUAAUUUUCAAACUAAAUAUAUGUUGAUAUUCUUUUUUUUGUUUUUGUUUUUGUUUUGAGACAGGGUCUGAUGUGGCCUAAACUGGUCUAGAAUUUGCUAGAUAGUCAGGGUUAUUCCUUGAAC
This is a long non-coding RNA of Alexandromys fortis (reed vole), 2461 nucleotides long. RefSeq lists it as uncharacterized. The record is from RefSeq and is a predicted model, not a curated record. NCBI's taxonomy places the organism in Eukaryota, Metazoa, Chordata, Mammalia, Rodentia, Cricetidae. The transcript is spliced from 4 exons.